AGAAUCAACGCUGGCGGCGCGCUUAACACAUGCAAGUCGCACGAGAAAGCUGGAGCAAUCCGGUGAGUAAAGUGGCGCACGGGUGAGUAACACGUGGAUCAUCUACCUUCUAGUGGGGAAUAACCCUGGGAAACCGGGGCUAAUACCGCAUAAGCUCGAAAGAGGAAAGCGUCGUCCCUUAAAAAGAUGACGCGCUGGAAGAGGAGUCCGCGGCCGAUUAGCUAGUUGGCAGGGUAACAGCCUACCAAGGCUUUGAUCGGUAGCCGGCCUGAGAGGGCACACGGCCACACUGGCACUGAAACACGGGCCAGACUCCUACGGGAGGCAGCAGUGGGGGAAUCUUGCACAAUGGGGGCAACCCUGAUGCAGCGACGCCGCGUGAGUGAUGAAGCCUUCGGGGUGUAAAGCUCUUUCGGCAGGAACGAAUCUUGACGGUACCUGCAGAAGAAGCUGCGGCUAACUACGUAGCCAGCAGCCGCGGU
This 482-nucleotide ribosomal RNA is filed under the name uncultured bacterium. Its description in RNAcentral is "SSU rRNA". It matches the Rfam family "Bacterial small subunit ribosomal RNA", at positions 26 to 521 of the family's 1533-position model. The record is from RNAcentral.